UUACCAGAGUACUAUGAAUGUUAAAAAUUUAAAACUCAAAGAACUUGGCGGUGUUUUAGACCACUUAGGGGAACCUGUCUCGUAAUCGAUAGUCCACGUUGUAUCUGACCUUUUUUUGUUUUCAGUUUGUAUACCGUUGUCGUCAGGUAACUUUUUAGAGACUAGAAGUUAGCAAUAGAAAUGUGAUAAUUUAGUACGUCAAAUCAAGGUGCAGCUAAUAAGAAGGGGAGGAUGGGUUACAGUUAUGUGAUUUAUAAUACGGAAAAAUGCAUGAAAUAGCAUUAAUUUAAGGCGGACUUGAAAGUAAAUUAGAUUAUAUGAAUAAUUUGAAUGAGGCUCUGAAACGUGU
RNAcentral lists this ribosomal RNA (349 nucleotides) under Myurellopsis columellaris. RNAcentral's name for it is "partial 12S ribosomal RNA". The record is from RNAcentral. Lineage: Eukaryota; Metazoa; Mollusca; Gastropoda; Neogastropoda; Terebridae.